This 570-nucleotide ribosomal RNA is filed under the name Triticum aestivum (bread wheat). RNAcentral's name for it is "partial small subunit ribosomal RNA". The record is from RNAcentral. Lineage: Eukaryota; Viridiplantae; Streptophyta; Magnoliopsida; Poales; Poaceae.
AUGGUACUGGGAUACCCACCGGAGGAGGCCCAGGACAUUGCGGACCGGCUUAAUUGCCGCCUGGGUUCUUUCCCCACGACUUAUCUGGGGAUCCCCAUUAGUGACUCGCGCCUCACCGUAGCGGACCUCCGCCCUUCCGUGACCCGAAUGCAACACCGGGUCGAGCCCUGGAAGGGCCGAUGGCUUUCGAAGACGGCGCGGGUAAUCCUCAUCAACUCCUCGCUGGCAAGCCUCCUCUGGUUCCUCAUGAGCUUCUAUAGACUCCAUGAGACGCUUCACCAGGAGGUGGCCAAAUAUCAGUCUAGGUUUUUCUGGGCUGGCGAGGGGGAUAAGCAAAAAUACCAUAUGGUGAGCUGGCCGGACAUUUGCAAACCCAAAGACCAGGGAGGUCUGGGGAUCUUGUCCUCCCGUCGGAUGAACAUCGCGCUCCUGACCCGAUGGCUAUGGCGUAUCGCCAACGGAGAGGGCGGCCUCUGGCUUACCAUCAUCAAGAAUAAGUACCUCCGAGGACAACCUCUUGCUUUCUGCCAGCGCUCUGGGGGAUCCCAGUUCUGGCAGGCUGUCAUCUAG